RNAcentral lists this unclassified non-coding RNA (326 nucleotides) under Hevea brasiliensis (rubber tree). The record is from RNAcentral. Lineage: Eukaryota; Viridiplantae; Streptophyta; Magnoliopsida; Malpighiales; Euphorbiaceae.
GUCCGCAUGAUUUUUCCUUUGUCUAUAAAUAUGCUUCUGAACAACCUUCUGCUUAUCUUUUGUUUAAUGUUUUCAAUUAGUCCUAUUUAAGCUGGAGCAUGAACCUGAUAUCUUUAUAUUACGUGUAUGUCUAAAGUUGCUGAUGUAUAGUGUAAACUACAGCAUUUGAGAUAAAUGCCUCAGACAGUAUGGCUGAAUUGUAGACUGAUUUUUUCCUCAUUGAAUAUGUUGAAUUUGCAUUUGAUAAGUUUAAUUGCUGUCAUUUUUCCUGUCGUAUUGAUCACUAAAUUUGCCUUUCUUGUAGUUCUGGUAAGUGUCAAAUAAUU